Non-coding RNA from Paramuricea clavata, 275 nucleotides. The record is from the annotation of a GenBank genome assembly. NCBI's taxonomy places the organism in Eukaryota, Metazoa, Cnidaria, Anthozoa, Malacalcyonacea, Plexauridae.
GUCCAACAAAGCUCAUCCAUUAUAAUGGUCAAGUGUUACUGCUCGUACCUACGGUGUUUGGUGGAAUAUAGUAACAAGCUGAGACUCAAUUCACUCAAAUAAAACAUUUUGAUCCACUUACCAAACAGGUUUCUUACUCUGGCAGCACCAACACCGACAAACAUUUCAUCAAAUUCAGCUCCAGAACAGAAGAAAAAUGGCACUCCAGCCUCACCUGCUACAGCUUUUGCAAGUAACGUUUUACCAGUGCCUGGGGCUCCAAUCAACAAUAUACC